AGCCACACUGGUUCGACUGGGAUACUCAUCAAAUAAUACUGAAAACCGAGAAUGCUUGCGCAUUUCAAUGGCGGGCCGCGCCUCGUGAGAGGUAGUACGCGAGUACCGGCGGAUUACAAAGAAUGCGGGCGCUCAAAACUUAAUGACUCGGAGUUUCAUCGCAUCACCAGUGUGGUUUUUU
This 181-nucleotide small RNA is filed under the name bovine gut metagenome. RNAcentral describes it as "Bacteroidales-1 6S-Bacteroidales RNA suggested". It matches the Rfam family "Bacteroidales-1 6S-Bacteroidales RNA suggested". The record is from RNAcentral.